AGAGUUUGAUCCUGGCUCAGAUUGAACGCUGGCGGCAUGCCUAACACAUGCAAGUCGAACGGAAACGAUGCUAGCUUGCUAGCAGGCGUCGAGUGGCGGACGGGUGAGUAAUAUAUAGGGAUCUGCCUAAUAGUGGGGGACAACAUGUGGAAACGCAUGCUAAUACCGCAUACGCUCUACGGAGGAAAGUGGGGGAUCUUCGGACCUCAUGCUAUUAGAUGAACCUAUAUCGGAUUAGCUUGUUGGUAAGGUAAUGGCUUACCAAGGCAACGAUCCGUAGCUGGUUUGAGAGAAUGAUCAGCCACACUGGGACUGAGACACGGCCCAGACUCCUACGGGAGGCAGCAGUGGGGAAUAUUGCACAAUGGACGAAAGUCUGAUGCAGCAAUGCCGCGUGUGUGAAGAAGGCCUUCGGGUUGUAAAGCACUUUCAGAUGUGAGGAAAAGCAGUCUAUUAAUACUAGAUUGCCGUGACGUUAACAUCAGAAGAAGGACCGGCUAACUCCGUGCCAGCAGCCGCGGUAAUACGGAGGGUCCAAGCGUUAAUCGGAAUUACUGGGCGUAAAGCGCGCGUAGGCGGAUAUUUAAGUCAGAUGUGAAAUCCCUGGGCUCAACCUAGGAACUGCAUAUGAACUGGAUAUCUAGAGUAUGGUAGAGGUGAGUGGAAUUUCAGGUGUAGCGGUGAAAUGCGUAGAGAUCUGAAGGAACAUCAGUGGCGAAGGCGACUCACUGGGCCAUUACUGACGCUGAGGUGCGAAAGCGUGGGUAGCAAACAGGAUUAGAUACCCUGGUAGUCCACGCCCUAAACGAUGUCAACUAGGUGUGUGAGAGUCUAACUCUUGCGUAUCGAAGCUAACGCGAUAAGUUGACCGCCUGGGGAGUACGGUCGCAAGACUAAAACUCAAAUGAAUUGACGGGGGCCCGCACAAGCGGUGGAGCAUGUGGUUUAAUUCGAUGCAACGCGAAGAACCUUACCUGGCCUUGACAUGUAGUGAACUUACCAGAGAUGGUUUGGUGCCUUCGGGAACACUAACACAGGUGCUGCAUGGCUGUCGUCAGCUCGUGUCGUGAGAUGUUGGGUUAAGUCCCGCAACGAGCGCAACCCCUGUCCUUAGUUGCCAUCAUUUAGUUGGGCACUCUAAGGAGACUGCCGGUGACAAACCGGAGGAAGGUGGGGAUGACGUCAAGUCAUCAUGGCCCUUAUGGCCAGGGCUACACACGUGCUACAAUGGCUAGUACAAAGGGUUGCCAACUUGCGAGAGUGAGCUAAUCCCAUAAAGCUAGUCGUAGUCCGGAUCGGAGUCUGCAACUCGACUCCGUGAAGUCGGAAUCGCUAGUAAUCGCGGAUCAGAAUGCCGCGGUGAAUACGUUCCCGGGCCUUGUACGCACCGCCCGUCACACCAUGGGAGUGGGUUGCAAAAGAAGUGGGUAGACUAACCUUCGGGAGGUCGCUCACCACUUUGUGAUUCAUGACUGGGGUGAAGUCGUAACAAGGUAACC
This 1499-nucleotide ribosomal RNA is filed under the name uncultured bacterium. RNAcentral describes it as "bacterial SSU rRNA". It matches the Rfam family "Bacterial small subunit ribosomal RNA". The record is from RNAcentral.